RNAcentral lists this ribosomal RNA (439 nucleotides) under uncultured bacterium. Its description in RNAcentral is "partial 16S ribosomal RNA". It matches the Rfam family "Bacterial small subunit ribosomal RNA", at positions 339 to 795 of the family's 1533-position model. The record is from RNAcentral.
CUACGGGCCGCUGCAGUGGGGAAUAUUGCACAAUGGAGGAAACUCUGAUGCAGCAACGCCGCGUGGAGGAUGACACUUUUCGGAGCGUAAACUCCUUUUAUAUAGGAAGAAGAUGACGGUACUAUAUGAAUAAGCGCCGGCUAACUCCGUGCCAGCAGCCGCGGUAAUACGGAGGGCGCAAGCGUUACUCGGAAUCACUGGGCGUAAAGAGCAUGUAGGCGGAUUAAAAAGUCAGAAGUGAAAUCCUAUAGCUUAACUAUAGAACUGCUUCUGAAACUCUUAAUCUAGAAUAUGGGAGAGGUAUAUGGAAUUUCUGGUGUAGGGGUAAAGUCCGUAGAGAUCAGAAGGAAUACCGAUUGCGAAGGCGAUCUACUAGAACAUUAUUGACGCUGAGACGCGAAAGCGUGGGGAGCAAACAGGAUUAGAUACCCCUGUAGUC